Molecule: ribosomal RNA, 240 nt
Filed under: uncultured bacterium
Lineage: Bacteria
Description: partial 16S ribosomal RNA
Rfam family: Bacterial small subunit ribosomal RNA
Source: RNAcentral
CGGGUAGGAGUAAUACAUAAGUAACCUGCCCUAGACAGGGGGAUAACUAUUGGAAACGAUAGCUAAGACCGCAUAGGUACGGACACUGCAUGGUGACCGUAUUAAAAGUGCCUCAAAGCACUGGUAGAGGAUGGACUUAUGGCGCAUUAGCUGGUUGGCGGGGUAACGGCCCACCAAGGCGACGAUCAGUAGCCGGCCUGAGAGGGUGAACGGCCACAUUGGGACUGAGACACGGCCCAA